UGGCGGACGGGUGAGUAACGCGUGGGUAACCUGCCUCAUACAGGGGGAUAACAGUUAGAAAUGACUGCUAAUACCGCAUAAGACCACAGCACCGCAUGGUGCAAGGGUAAAAACUCCGGUGGUAUGAGAUGGACCCGCGUCUGAUUAGCUAGUUGGUAAGGUAACGGCUUACCAAGGCGACGAUCAGUAGCCGACCUGAGAGGGUGACCGGCCACAUUGGGACUGAGACACGGCCCAA
RNAcentral lists this ribosomal RNA (238 nucleotides) under uncultured bacterium. RNAcentral's name for it is "partial 16S ribosomal RNA". It matches the Rfam family "Bacterial small subunit ribosomal RNA", at positions 96 to 334 of the family's 1533-position model. The record is from RNAcentral.